Molecule: ribosomal RNA, 576 nt
Filed under: uncultured eukaryote
Lineage: Eukaryota
Description: bacterial SSU rRNA
Rfam family: Eukaryotic small subunit ribosomal RNA
Source: RNAcentral
UCGGAAUGAAUGUACUUAUUAGAUAAAAGCCAAUCUCGUCUUUUGGUGAAUCAUAAUAGUUUAUCGAACCAUGCGAUUUCGCACUGGUAUGUCAUUCAAAUUUCUGCCCUAUCAGCUGUGUUGUUAGUGUAUUGGACUAACAAGGCAUAUACGGGUGACGGAGGAUUAGGGUCCGAUUCCGGAGAGGGAGCCUGAGAAACGGCUACCACUUCCAAGGAAGGCAGCAGGCGCGUAAAUUACCCAAUCACGACACGUGGAGGUAGUGACAAGAAAUAACAAUACCGCGUUUACUACAAAUGUGGUAAUUGGAAUGAGUACAACAUAAAAUACUUAACGAGUAACAAUUGGAGGGCAAGUCUGGUGCCAGCAGCCGCGGUAAUACCAGCUCCAAAAGCAUAUAUUAACAUUGUUGCGGUUAAAAGGCUCGUAGUCUAACCUAAUGCUUUCUCGAGUGCAGCCCAGAAUCCAGUAUUCUGGUUGCAAGCAUUUGAAAGGCAUCUUUUUGGAUUGCACUUCUGCCCUUGAUUGGGUUGGUUGUGGGAUACAAAUCUUUUACUGUGAGUAAAUCAGAGUGUU